CUAAAGAGGAGGAAGGAAUGGGCAACGGUAGGUCAGCAUGCCCCGAAUUAUCCGGGCUACACGCGGGCUACAAUGGUCAGGACAAUGGGUAUCGACACCGAGAGGUGGAGGCAAUCUCCUAAACCUGUCCUUAGUUCGGAUUGUGGGCUGCAACUCGCCCACAUGAAGCUGGAAUCCGUAGUAAUCGCGUUUCAAAAUAGCGCGGUGAAUAUGUCCCUGCUCCUU
This 225-nucleotide ribosomal RNA is filed under the name uncultured Methanolinea sp. Its description in RNAcentral is "partial 16S ribosomal RNA". It matches the Rfam family "Archaeal small subunit ribosomal RNA", at positions 1114 to 1338 of the family's 1478-position model. The record is from RNAcentral. Lineage: Archaea; Methanobacteriati; Methanobacteriota; Methanomicrobia; Methanomicrobiales; Methanoregulaceae.